RNAcentral lists this ribosomal RNA (630 nucleotides) under uncultured bacterium. RNAcentral's name for it is "bacterial SSU rRNA". It matches the Rfam family "Bacterial small subunit ribosomal RNA", at positions 338 to 959 of the family's 1533-position model. The record is from RNAcentral.
CCUACGGGAGGCAGCAGUGGGGAAUUUUGGACAAUGGGCGCAAGCCUGAUCCAGCAAUGCCGCGUGCAGGAUGAAGGCCUUCGGGUUGUAAACUGCUUUUGUACGGAGCGAAACGGUCUGCCCUAAUACGGUGGGCUAAUGACGGUACCGUAAGAAUAAGCACCGGCUAACUACGUGCCAGCAGCCGCGGUAAUACGUAGGGUGCGAGCGUUAAUCGGAAUUACUGGGCGUAAAGCGUGCGCAGGCGGUGAUGUAAGACAGAUGUGAAAUCCCCGGGCUCAACCUGGGACCUGCAUUUGUGACUGCAUCGCUAGAGUACGGUAGAGGGGGGAUGGAAUUCCGCGUGUAGCAGUGAAAUGCGUAGAUAUGCGGAGGAACACCGAUGGCGAAGGCAAUCCCCUCGGACCUGUACUGACGCUCAUGCACGAAAGCGUGGGGAGCAAACAGGAUUAGAUACCCUGGUAGUCCACGCCCUAAACGAUGUCAACUGGUUGUUGGGGUCUUCACUGACUCAGUAACGAAGCUAACGCGUGAAGUUGACCGCCNGGGGAGUACGGCCGCAAGGUUGAAACUCAAAAUGAGUUAGUAGGACGNGAGAGNGCGACGGACGACGACGAGGGAGGGAGGGAG